This 497-nucleotide ribosomal RNA is filed under the name uncultured bacterium. Its description in RNAcentral is "partial 16S ribosomal RNA". It matches the Rfam family "Bacterial small subunit ribosomal RNA", at positions 28 to 507 of the family's 1533-position model. The record is from RNAcentral.
GAUGAACGCUGGCGGCGUGCCUAAUACAUGCAAGUCGAGCGAAUGGACGAGAAGCUUGCUUCUCUGAUGUUAGCGGCGGACGGGUGAGUAACACGUGGAUAACCUACCUAUAAGACUGGGAUAACUUCGGGAAACCGGAGCUAAUACCGGAUAAUAUUUUGAACCGCAUGGUUCAAUAGUGAAAGACGGUCUUGCUGUCACUUAUAGAUGGAUCCGCGCUGCAUUAGCUAGUUGGUAAGGUAACGGCUUACCAAGGCAACGAUGCAUAGCCGACCUGAGAGGGUGAUCGGCCACACUGGAACUGAGACACGGUCCAGACUCCUACGGGAGGCAGCAGUAGGGAAUCUUCCGCAAUGGGCGAAAGCCUGACGGAGCAACGCCGCGUGAGUGAUGAAGGUCUUCGGAUCGUAAAACUCUGUUAUUAGGGAAGAACAUAUGUGUAAGUAACUGUGCACAUCUUGACGGUACCUAAUCAGAAAGCCACGGCUAACUACGUG